Abrus precatorius (Indian licorice) is the source of this 129-nucleotide small nucleolar RNA. RefSeq annotates it as small nucleolar RNA snoR74. NCBI's taxonomy places the organism in Eukaryota, Viridiplantae, Streptophyta, Magnoliopsida, Fabales, Fabaceae. The transcript has a single exon. The record is from RefSeq and is a predicted model, not a curated record.
AAAAAGGAAGGGGUCUGUUGCCUAUGUGAGCAGUCCUCUCGUAACCUUCAGGGAUAAAGUAACCAUUGUUGUUGGGUGAACCUCUGUUCCCUGUUCAUGACUGAAGGUUCAGUAAAUGAUGGGACAUUU